AGAGUUUGAUCAUGGCUCAGAUUGAACGCUGGCGGCAGGCUUAACACAUGCAAGUCGAACGGUAACAUGGGUGCUUGCACCUGAUGACGAGUGGCGGACGGGUGAGUAAUGUAUGGGGAUCUGCCGAAUGGAAUGGGACAACAGUUGGAAACGACUGCUAAUACCGCAUAACGUCGCAAGACCAAGGAGGGGGACCUUCGGGCCUCUUGCCAUCGGAUGUGCCCAUAUGGGAUUAGCUAGUAGGUGGGGUAAUGGCUCACCUAGGCGACGAUCUCUAGCUGGUCUGAGAGGAUGACCAGCCACACUGGAACUGAGACACGGUCCAGACUCCUACGGGAGGCAGCAGUGGGGAAUAUUGCACAAUGGGGGAAACCCUGAUGCAGCCAUGCCGCGUGUAUGAAGAAGGCCUUAGGGUUGUAAAGUACUUUCAGCGAGGAGGAAGGCGUUGUGGUUAAUAACCGCAGCGAUUGACGUUACUCGCAGAAGAAGCACCGGCUAACUCCGUGCCAGCAGCCGCGGUAAUAC
RNAcentral lists this ribosomal RNA (525 nucleotides) under uncultured bacterium. Its description in RNAcentral is "bacterial SSU rRNA". It matches the Rfam family "Bacterial small subunit ribosomal RNA", at positions 8 to 526 of the family's 1533-position model. The record is from RNAcentral.